This 74-nucleotide transfer RNA is filed under the name Candidatus Parvarchaeum acidiphilum ARMAN-4. It matches the Rfam family "tRNA". Rfam says of the family: Transfer RNA (tRNA) molecules are approximately 80 nucleotides in length. Their secondary structure includes four short double-helical elements and three loops (D, anti-codon, and T loops). Lineage: Archaea; Nanobdellati; Candidatus Parvarchaeota. The record is from Rfam by way of RNAcentral. RNAcentral also lists the same sequence under 3 other names.
GGGGUGGUGAUCUAGCUUGGUAUGAUGCUAGCUUCGGGGGUUAGUUGACCUGGGUUCAAAUCCCAGCCACCCCA